RNAcentral lists this transfer RNA (86 nucleotides) under Haloferax profundi. RNAcentral's name for it is "Haloferax sp. SB29 tRNA-His". It matches the Rfam family "tRNA". Rfam says of the family: Transfer RNA (tRNA) molecules are approximately 80 nucleotides in length. Their secondary structure includes four short double-helical elements and three loops (D, anti-codon, and T loops). Lineage: Archaea; Methanobacteriati; Methanobacteriota; Halobacteria; Halobacteriales; Haloferacaceae. The record is from RNAcentral.
GGAAGGGUGGCUCAGUGGUAGAGCACACCGGCAGUGAAUCCGGUGGAUUUCAAUGGCUUCGCGUGGUUCGACUCCCGCCCCUUCCG